CAUGCAAGUCGAACGCAACCUUCGGGUUGAGUGGCGGACGGGUGAGUAACGCGUGAGAAUCUGCCUUGGGGUCGGGGACAACCACUGGAAACGGUGGCUAAUACCGGAUAAGCCUUUGGGUAAAAAAUUUAUUGCCCCAAGAGGAGCUCGCGUCUGAUUAGCUAGUUGGUGAGGUAAGAGCUCACCAAGGCAGCGAUCAGUAGCUGGUCUGAGAGGACGAUCAGCCACACUGGGACUGAGACACGGCCCAGACUCCUACGGGAGGCAGCAGUGGGGAAUUUUCCGCAAUGGGCGAAAGCCUGACGGAGCAAGACCGCGUGAGGGAGGAAGGCUCUUGGGUUGUAAACCUCUUUUCUCAGGGAAGAAGCUCUGACGGUACCUGAGGAAUCAGCCUCGGCUAACUCCGUGCCAGCAGCCGCGGUAAUACGGAGGAGGCAAGCGUUAUCCGGAAUUAUUGGGCGUAAAGCGUCCGCAGGUGGCGAUUCAAGUCUGCUGUCAAAGCACGGGGCUUAACUCCGUUAAGGCAGUGGAAACUGAGUAGCUAGAGUGCCGUAGGGGUAGAGGGAAUUCCCGGUGUAGCGGUGAAAUGCGUAGAGAUCGGGAAGAACAUCGGUGGCGAAAGCGCUCUACUGGACGGCAACUGACACUCAGGGACGAAAGCUAGGGGAGCGAAUGGGAUUAGAUACCCCAGUAGUCCUAGCUGUAAACGAUGGAUACUAGGUGUAGCUUGUAUCGACCCGAGCUGUGCCCGAAGCUAACGCGUUAAGUAUCCCGCCUGGGGGAAGUACGCAACGCAAGUUGUGAAACUUCAAAGGAAUUGACGGGGCCACGCACAAGCGGUGGAGUAUGUGGUUUAAUUCGAUGCAACGCCGAAGAACCUUACCAGGGCAUGACAUGUCCGGAAUCCCGGUGAAAGCUGGGAGUGCCGUCGGGAGCCGGAACACAGGUGCAGCAUGGCUGUCGUCAGCUCGUGUCAUGAGAUGUUGGGUUACGUCCCGCAACGAGCGCAACCCUCGUCUUUAGUUGCCAGCAUUAAGUGGGGCACUCUAGAGAGACUGCCGGUGACAAACCGGAGGAAGGUGGGGAUGACGUCAAGUCAGCAUGCCCCUUACGCU
This 1115-nucleotide ribosomal RNA is filed under the name uncultured organism. Its description in RNAcentral is "bacterial SSU rRNA". It matches the Rfam family "Bacterial small subunit ribosomal RNA", at positions 54 to 1208 of the family's 1533-position model. The record is from RNAcentral.